GGUCGACUGGUGUAGUGGUUUAUCACGUCUGUCUCACAGCAACGUAUAUCUUAGUAUAUGUGAGGUCACAGAAGGUCGCAGGUUCGAACCCUGCGUCGACCA
This 102-nucleotide transfer RNA is filed under the name Hypoxylon rubiginosum. RNAcentral describes it as "tRNA-Val". It matches the Rfam family "tRNA". From Rfam's summary of the family: Transfer RNA (tRNA) molecules are approximately 80 nucleotides in length. Their secondary structure includes four short double-helical elements and three loops (D, anti-codon, and T loops). Further hydrogen bonds mediate the characteristic L-shaped molecular structure. tRNAs have two regions of fundamental functional importance: the anti-codon, which is responsible for specific mRNA codon recognition, and the 3' end, to which the tRNAs corresponding amino acid is attached (by aminoacyl-tRNA synthetases). tRNAs cope with the degeneracy of the genetic code in two manners: having more than one tRNA (with a specific anti-codon) for a particular amino acid; and 'wobble' base-pairing, i.e. permitting non-standard base-pairing at the 3rd anti-codon position. Lineage: Eukaryota; Fungi; Ascomycota; Sordariomycetes; Xylariales; Hypoxylaceae. The record is from RNAcentral.